UACGGAGGGUGCAAGCGUUAUCCGGAAUCACUGGGUUUAAAGGGUGCGUAGGCGGUGGGAUAAGUCAGUCGUGAAAUACUUCGGCUCAACCGAUAGAACUGCGAUUGAUACUGUUUCACUUGAAUCAGGUUGAGGCGGGCGGAAUGUGGCAUGUAGCGGUGAAAUGCUUAGAUAUGCCAUAGAACACCGAUUGCGAAGGCAGCUCGCUGGGCCUUGAUUGACGCUGAGGCACGAAAGCGUGGGGAGCAAACAGG
RNAcentral lists this ribosomal RNA (254 nucleotides) under uncultured bacterium. RNAcentral describes it as "partial 16S ribosomal RNA". It matches the Rfam family "Bacterial small subunit ribosomal RNA", at positions 524 to 776 of the family's 1533-position model. The record is from RNAcentral.